This 387-nucleotide ribosomal RNA is filed under the name Orumcekia sp. ZZ625. Its description in RNAcentral is "partial 16S ribosomal RNA". It matches the Rfam family "Bacterial large subunit ribosomal RNA", at positions 1907 to 2587 of the family's 2925-position model. The record is from RNAcentral. Lineage: Eukaryota; Metazoa; Arthropoda; Arachnida; Araneae; Agelenidae.
CUCAAUGAAAUUCAAUAGCCGCAAUAUUUGUGCUAAGGUAGCAUAAUCACUUGCCUUUUAAUUAAAGGCUAGAACGAAAGAUUCAACAUUUCUAUUUCUCUCUUACAUAUAAUUAUUUAAUUUAUUUUAAAUGUUAAAAAACAUUUAUUAAUAAAGAAGACGAUAAGACCCUAUUGAACUUAACUAAAGUUAAACUGGGGUAGUUAAUUAAAUACAAUUUUAAUUUAAAUUCUAAAAAUAACCUAAUAUAAUUAAAACAUCAAGUUACCAUAGGGAUAACAGCGUAAUAAUUUUCUCAAGCUCUUAUUCCAAAAAAUGUUUGCGACCUCGAUGUUGAAUUAAUAAUCUCUUAAAUGCAAUAAUUUAAUAAGAAAGUCUGUUCGACUU